GCCUAACACAUGCAAGUCGAACGGGCUAGCAAUAGUCAGUGGCGCACGGGUGCGUAACACGUGGGUAAUCAACCCUUCAGCUUGGGAUAACGCCUUGAAAGGGGCGCUAAUACCGGAUACGGCGCGCGGGGCUUCGGCUCUGCACGAGAAAGAUUCGCAAGGAUCGCUGAUGGACGAGCUCGCGUCCUAUCAGCUUGUUGGUGAGGUAAGAGCUCACCAAGGCUUAGACGGGUAGCUGGUCUGAGAGGAUGGUCAGCCACACUGGAACUGAGACACGGUCCAGACUCCUACGGGAGGCAGCAGUGGGGAAUAUUGCGCAAUGGGCGAAAGCCUGACGCAGCCACGCCGCGUGAGCGAUGAAGGUCCUCGGAUCGUAAAGCUCUGUGGGGAGAGAAGAAUAAAGCCUGUGAAGAGCAGGCCUUGACGGUAUCUCUUUAGCAAGCACCGGCUAACUCCGUGCCAGCAGCCGCGGUAAUACGGAGGGUGCAAACGUUGCUCGGAAUCAUUGGGCGUAAAGCGCACGUAGGCGGCCAACCAAGUUGGAUGUGAAAGCCCUGGGCUCAACCCCGGAAUUGCACUCAAAACUGCCAGGCUAGAGUCUCGGAGAGGAAGGCGGAAUUCCCGGUGUAGAGGUGAAAUUCGUAGAUAUCGGGAGGAACACCAGCGGCGAAGGCGGCCUUCUGGACGAUGACUGACGCUGAGACGCGAAAGCGUGGGGAGCAAACCCCUGGUAGUCCACGCCGUAAACGUUGUGUGCUAGGUGUCGCGGGUAUUGACCCCUGCGGUGCCGUCGUUAACGCAUUUAGUACCCCGCCUGGGGAGUACGGUCGCAAGAAAAAAACUCAAAGGAAUUGACGGGGGCCCGCACAAGCGGUGGCAUGUGGUUUUAAUUCGAAGCGACGCGCAGAACCUUACCUGGGUUUGACAUCUACGGAACCUCUCGGAAAGUUGAGGGUGCCUUCGGGAGCCGUAAGACAGGUGCUGCAUGGCUGUCGUCAGCUCGUGUCGUGAGGUGUUGGGUUAAGUCCCGCAACGAGCGCAACCCCUAUCACUAGUUGCCAUCAGUUCGGCUGGGCACUCUAGUGGGAUGCCGGCCAAAACCGGAGGAAGGUGGGGAUGACGUCAAGUCCUCAUGGCCCUUAUGCCCAGGGCUACACACGUGCUACAAUGGCUGGUACAAAGAGCCGCUAAGCCGCGAGGCCAAGCUAAUCUCAAAAAGCCAGUCUCAGUUCGGAUUGCAGUCUGCAACUCGACUGCAUGAAGCUGGAAUCGCUAGUAAUCGGAGAUCAGCACGCUCCGGUGAAUACGUUCCCGGGCCUUGUACACACCGCCCGUCACACCAUGGGAGUCGGUUGCUCCAGAAGUAGGUAUCCUAACCUUCGGGGGGGAGCUUACCAAGGAGUGAUCGGUAACUGGGGUGAAGUCGUAACAAGGUAGCCGUAGGGGAACCUGCGGCUGGAUCACCUCCUU
RNAcentral lists this ribosomal RNA (1470 nucleotides) under uncultured prokaryote. RNAcentral's name for it is "partial 16S ribosomal RNA". It matches the Rfam family "Bacterial small subunit ribosomal RNA". The record is from RNAcentral.